GCUCAUAGCCUACUUGUUUACUAUACCUGAGUAGUUUAUUUGUCCAUGUAGAUGGAUAGCAAAACAUGGUGCCCUUUCAAGAUGCGAAGAACAAUAGAUAGAGUAUUGCAUUGGGGGCAAUCGUGUAUUUUUACAAAAUACAUCUAUUACAGGCUUCAUGAGAUUUGGGCAGAAAGGAAGUUGUGCUCUUGAUGUGUUGGGCCUUAACAUACAGAGAACUGACCAAAAAACAUAAGGUAGAGCUACUUCAAGAGUUAUAUCUCGUACACCUAGUAAUUCACAGUCUAUGAAGUGUUAACAUUUAGUGGACCCAUAACUUAUCGUAGUAUUGAAGUCAUAGAGCACUUGUCACUAGAGAAAGUUCUAAUAUAUUAUAAAUUUCAAAGUUAAGAAUUCAGUCUCCGUUAGAGUGUUGUGUAGGAGUCAAAGAGAUUAAAAGGGCCACUUGAGAAUUGAAGAACUCUACGAAGUUCAAGAAUCCAUAUUGUUCCAAAAUUUUCAUGAGAUUUUGACAUCAUUUAUCUUCUUUUCCUGAUUAUAAGGUUCACAUGCAUCUAUUCACUUGUUAAUAUAAUCACCUAAUUACUUGUUAACAUCAGUCCAUUUGAUAUUUUAGCCAUGCGUCAUAAGUUCAAAUGUGUAGUUCCUACUUGGGAUUGCAUAUUCAAAAAAGUUCCACAUCAAGCUAGUGUAUAAGUAAAAAGAUAUAAAGGCAAGUCAUACCAUAUAGAAUUAUUUCACCUGAAAGUAUGUCGCAGGGAGGAACCUUACUUUUUAUUUUUGACUAUUUAAUAUGCUUCAGUUGUUUAAAUGUCGUGCAAGGCUUAUUCAUUUACAAAGAAAAUUUUGAAAACUUUUUUACAGAUAUGCUAGAGUCGACAUUAUUUUGAGCUACACCACCCAUUCGAGGACGAAUGAUCCAAAGGGG
This 928-nucleotide long non-coding RNA is filed under the name Solanum tuberosum (potato). RNAcentral describes it as "long non-coding RNA (STUB_LNC004833)". Lineage: Eukaryota; Viridiplantae; Streptophyta; Magnoliopsida; Solanales; Solanaceae. The record is from RNAcentral.